UUGUCCUUGAAGACUGGAAGUGAAAAACUCCUUAUAUUCAGGAGUGCUGAAUUAUUAGGCAUGUUUUCUUGUCAUGCAUUGGUCAUAGAGCUCAUUGUAGCGGUGCCUCAGGUGUUGAAAUAGAUUUGUUAUACAUUAUACAGGUUCACACGUCCUCCGUCUGCAGUGCGUAUACAGUAUGUGUAUGCAGUUCAGAAGCAGCAGCGAGAGCGCGUUACUGUAACGCGAAAGAACAUUAAAAUAAUGCGCGAGCGCGAAUCUAUCCGCUCGCACGCAAAUUUCCUUUGCUUUGUCACAAAACCAGACACGCGUGCUCAGAUACAUGCUGCUCUCGCUCGGAGAGAAUGCGCGCACUUAAAACGUGUUUCCUCUGCUCAAACUGUGUCCUGUGCACUCACAACUCUCUCUAUGCUCAUGCGCUAGAUAUUAAUUCUAUUCGCA
This is a long non-coding RNA of Cyprinus carpio carpio, 441 nucleotides long. Lineage: Eukaryota; Metazoa; Chordata; Actinopteri; Cypriniformes; Cyprinidae. The record is from Ensembl.